AAUUAAAGUCACUCGGACAGUCGACGACACAUCACGCAUCAUCGCCGCCCCAUCCUCCACCAGUUCAUGUUCAGCCCCCCUUCUCCCUCUCUCUCUCCUCCUCUCUCUCUCUAAAUUAGCUGCAAAUCGACGAGCAUUCAUCCAUGGAAGCGGGGCGAUGGGCGCCGUCGGGGCCGCCGUCCAGUCGCGCUGCGGCACCUUCCCGAGCUCUCGAAGAUGGAGACGGCUUCCUCCUCGAAUUUCACGGAGAGAGAGAGAGAGAGAGAGGAAGAAGCUCGCGCGCCGCAGCCGCUUGUGCACUGCGUCCGGCCGGACUUUGGGUGGAUUCCGCCGUCCGCCGGAACUGAUCGGAAGCCAUCGCCGUCUUCCGGCCGGGCCACCGAUGGGAAUCUUCUGCAGGUGGAAAUGGUUUGGUGAGCACCAUGGAUAUGCUCAGUUUUGUGUGUUGGAUCCGGUGGACUACUUGGCUCUGAUUUUGCUGGACAUCUUGAAAGGACCCUUGACUCUUUCUGAUUGGGUGGACCGGGAACGUCAAUGGGUCUGUUAAAUUUGCUUAUGCUUUAUCAAUAAUCUCAGAUGCAGAUCCGUAGUCAAUUAUUUUUAAGGUGUUCUUGGUUCCAUGCAUGAGCUCUUGCUUCUGGAGUCAUUUGGAGGAGUUGAUAUAGUUCAACCUUAUGGACCAAGGUCAGGCCACAACGCUGCAUUGCUUUAUUAAAGCGAUGCUUGUUCUUAAUUUCAGAUGCCUCAUACAGGACAGAAUCUAACAGCUCUCCUGAUCCAUUUGUGCUUUGCUUUGUACUGUAACCCAUCUUCCAGUACUUGUAUACACCGUCUUUGUGGGCAGUAGGACCCUAAAUGGUCGUAUGACAUCGAUUUUAUGGUUGAGCUUUCUUUGCAGGUGGCUUGUUUACAUAGUUGAGCUUUCUUUGCAGGUGACCUGUUGCAUAUGAUUCCGUUUAAAUCAGGUUAACAAAGUAGAGGUUUUGUUAAUCUCUUUUCUUCUCAUGGUUACAAUUGCAUUCAGGAAUUUUUAAUUGCAGAAGGAAAUGCCUCGAGCGGAAGAUAUUACGGUGCUCAGACAGUGGGAUCUUGGCUGUUAGUUUGUUGGACCUUUCUUAUGGGGCUUGUCCUUGGAGUUUGAAGUGAACGGAUAGCUAACUUUUACUUAUCGAAUUGAUCUAUUUACUUCGCUUUGUAUCUCAUGGCUUGUACUUCGUUCAUUUGUAGUUCCGGAUGGAGCAAUAGUGACAUUUUA
Eucalyptus grandis is the source of this 1255-nucleotide RNA transcript. RefSeq lists it as uncharacterized. The record is from RefSeq and is a predicted model, not a curated record. NCBI's taxonomy places the organism in Eukaryota, Viridiplantae, Streptophyta, Magnoliopsida, Myrtales, Myrtaceae. The transcript is spliced from 2 exons.